RNAcentral lists this ribosomal RNA (109 nucleotides) under Neogale vison (American mink). The record is from RNAcentral. Lineage: Eukaryota; Metazoa; Chordata; Mammalia; Carnivora; Mustelidae.
GUCCACGGCCAUACCACCCUGAACGCGCCCGAUCUCGUCUGAUCUCGGAAGCUCAGCAGGGUCAGGCCUGGUUAGUACUUGGAUGGCAGAAUAACUGGCACUGAGUAGG